CACGAACCCGACAAACGUUAUUCGGAAUUAUUGGGCGUAAAGAGCUCGUAGGCGGUGCGGUAAGUGAGGUGUGAAAUCCCUCGGCUCAACCGAGGAAUUGCGCUUCAUACUGCCGUGCUGGAGGGAGACAGGGGUAAGCGGAACUGAUGGUGGAGCGGUGAAAUGCGUUGAUAUCAUCAGGAACACCGGUGGCGAAAGCGGCCUACUGGGUCUCUUCUGACGCUGAGGCACGAAAGCUAGGGUAGCGAACGGG
Molecule: unclassified non-coding RNA, 253 nt
Filed under: uncultured Pirellulaceae bacterium
Lineage: Bacteria; Pseudomonadati; Planctomycetota; Planctomycetia; Pirellulales; Pirellulaceae
Description: contains 16S-23S intergenic spacer region
Rfam family: Bacterial small subunit ribosomal RNA
Source: RNAcentral